Molecule: ribosomal RNA, 262 nt
Filed under: uncultured archaeon
Lineage: Archaea
Description: partial 16S ribosomal RNA
Rfam family: Archaeal small subunit ribosomal RNA
Source: RNAcentral
UAGCCGUAAACGAUACUCGCUAGGUGUCGGCCACGGUGCGACCGUUGUCGGUGCCGUAGGGAAGCCGUGAAGCGAGCCACCUGGGAAGUACGGCCGCAAGGCUGAAACUUAAAGGAAUUGGCGGGGGGAGCACAACAACGGGUGGAGCUUGCGGUUUAAUUGGACUCAACGCCGGGAAGCUCACCGGAUAAGACAGCGGAAUGAUUGCCGGGCUGAAGACCCUGCAUGACCAGCUGAGAGGAGGUGCAUGGCGUAGUCGUGU